This 2215-nucleotide unclassified non-coding RNA is filed under the name Leishmania donovani. RNAcentral's name for it is "gene:LdHU3.35.0370(CDS-product:hypothetical_prote in_conserved)". Lineage: Eukaryota; Euglenozoa; Kinetoplastea; Trypanosomatida; Trypanosomatidae. The record is from RNAcentral.
AGUGACAACAUACGCACACACACACACACGUGCUCCAUGGAGCGCAGAAGAGCUUGCAUUACCUCGCACAACUCGUAGGGCGGCAUUGCUGCAACUGGCACACACCACGGUCGGUAUGCUCGACUGCGUCGUUUUGCGCACGGCACACAGCACGCUUCAUGUGCUUCUUCACAUGAUCUCGCAAUGGGCGCACGCGCUGCUGAAGCUGUCCGUGAAGCUGUGGGUGCUGGCCACGGGUUGCUGCCCAGGGACGUUACGCGCUGCAGAAUGAGCGUCACAUCGAGGUAGUCACCUCCACGAAGUACCCGUCUAUGGGUGCGAAGCCGCUGGCGACGUUUGGACUGAGCUAGGACAUAUUGUACCACGGUGCCUUGGACAGUGUGCGCGUCUACAUUAUUCUUAGCGUCCUUGGCGUCAGCUGCCGCGUCACCUACAACCGGGAGCCACCGGAAGGGUUUGACGACAAUCCAAUGUGCCGGGAAUGUCUGAAGGUGCCAAAGGCAGAGGAGGACAAAAAGGAAUCGUGCUCGUAGUCGCUGGUUCGGUGGAACUAGAGGUGGGGGGGGUGCGAACACCCCCACCCCCAAUAAACAGCGACGGGUUCGCAGCUGCGAGGCAAAGAGCUUCCGCGUGUGUCCUCUCACUUCACGCGGCAUGGACUCUGAUCGUCUUACACAGUUGCAUCUCACCGGUGUCACCUUUACCCAGUGCACGCGUACCGUGAUGGUGUGUGGUGCUCGGUGCACGAGCAGCUGCGCGCGCGUUUCGGGGGUGAGCUGGCGACCUCCUUCCUCGGCUACAGCACUGUUGGAAUGACAAACCUGAAGGCGGCUGCGGAUUAGUUUGACGCGUUCAAGACGAAUCCGUCCCGCUACCCCGGCGGCUCCCCCAGUGACAGCGCUGGUGAGCAUGAAUGCCUCGUUCAGCAUAUUCGUGCACGGCCACGCGAUCUAGCGCUGCGAGUUUCUUUUUCUUGUUUGACUAGCGCCCGAUGAGUGACGCGAUGAGGAAGUAUGCGAAGCAUGAACACCGCUUGGCUCAAGGGCUGCUAGGUCUUCCCCCAAUGAAGGACAAAGCCGAGUUGAGCGCGCUGCUGCAGGGGUUCGCCAACACCAGCGACUACAACGAGCGCUUGGUGGUGCCGCACUUCGCAUACACGGAGGGCGGCGCGAGCUACUACAAGGGUGCGGCAGCUUUCAAACGGCUAAUUCGAAUGAACGUGCCCCUCCCCGUCAUCUGCCUGGCAGCGCGUAGCGACCCAAUCACCGGCGAAUCCCGCACCAAGGCGCAGCGGCAGGCCCUCAUCGAUGAACACCCCAACGUCGUGCAUGUUGAGACGCCAGCGAGCGGCCACUUAUCCUGCUUGCCGGGCUCUCUCAACGAGGUCAGAGGACGCGGGGAGUUCUUCAUUUACUUCACGCUGAAAGUCUUCCAGCACGCCGUGCGGGUAUUGAAGGAGACAAAUGCGUAGUUGAGCGCGCGUGCUGUCGGUUCAAUGGUGAAUACGGCAGUGGAUGUCGUGCUCUGCGCUACCCACGCUAUCCCCGGAAGCACAAAGGCAGGAGAGCGGCACAAAAGCCGCCGAAACUGCUCACCUUCCCUCCCCCUCCACUAUCACCGCUAGAGCGUGCUUUAUCGAGAUAGCAGGUGGUCUGAGGGGUCCACAGGCCCACUGCAAAACCAACGCCGCCUGCUUCAUUCACCUUGAUGCACGGGCUAGGGUUGGAUAUGCGAGGGAGAAGGCGACAGCCAUCUUGACGUGCCUCGCGCGGCGCCUGUUACGCUCAAGCUCCGCACACCUACUUCGGAUGUGCCAUACAGGGUCUCGUUCUGCUCACCGGAGCUGUGGGAAAGAGGCCCUGUGGAGAAGCGUGCACACGCACACACUCGCCAAAGUGCCGCACGUGUGCGCCAUCGCACCUCUACGCGGUCAAAAUACUACAAAGAAAACAGUCAUCGACAUGCACAGCGAACAUACGCGCAGUGCGCGGUGCCCGCCUGACGGCUUUGGUCUGCGGCUGUCAUUCGCUUCUUCCUCUCAUCUGCGAGUGUAUUGGAGAGGCAGAAAUGAGAAGAGGCGGAGAAUUUGGGUUUAGGAAGACUAUCGUCAUGCUCACCGUCCUCUUCUGUUCGCCAGUGCAGAGAGCGCUUUUUGCUUCGCGUUCUUCUGACUCUGUCUGAUCCCCGUACUUCGGUUUGUCUUUUCCGGCCACAG